Molecule: transfer RNA, 67 nt
Filed under: Marmota monax (woodchuck)
Lineage: Eukaryota; Metazoa; Chordata; Mammalia; Rodentia; Sciuridae
Description: tRNA.Ala
Source: RNAcentral
GGUUGUGGCUCAGUGGUAGAGCACUCACCUAGCACAUGUGAGGCACUGGGUUCGAACCUCAGUGCCA